Long non-coding RNA from Orcinus orca (killer whale), 12825 nucleotides. RefSeq lists it as uncharacterized. Lineage: Eukaryota; Metazoa; Chordata; Mammalia; Artiodactyla; Delphinidae. The transcript is spliced from 5 exons. The record is from RefSeq and is a predicted model, not a curated record.
AUAAACGUGGUGAGUUACUUGUCCAGUCUUGACAAUUAAUAUGGCUUGUAAAAUCUGAGGCAUCCCAAGUGAAAACAACAGAUGUUAGUAUCCGCUUUGGGUAAGAGAUCCUGGCAGGUCAUAGCCAGAAUCGGAAUGAGCAUCUUGAACUCCUAUAAAAAAAAAAAAAAAAGAAAGAGCUAUUAGGCUAAGAGGAUCUAAGUCCAGAAAUUAUAUCUGCCCUCAGAAUCCAUAUCUUGAACUCUGAUACUGGACAAAAUUAAAUGCCAGUCUUUGGAGACUUUUUUCUGAACCACAGAUAUUUUUGUGCCAAUCAGUUCUACAAUCGAGUCUUAAGUGGAUUUGAACCAAGAGAGAAGAAGAAUUUUUAAUGAAGGCUUUAAGAGGGUUUACAUUUAACUUAAUAAUAAACUUUCCUCCAAACAUUGCUGAAAUGGACCUUUUAAAACACAUAUUUAAGAGUUUGGGAUUAACAAAUACACACUACUAUAUAUAAAAUAGAUAACCAACAAGGACCUACUGUGUAGCACAGGGAACUCUACUCAAUAUUCUGUAAUAACCUAUAUGGGAAAAGAAUCUGAAAAAGAAUAGAUAUAUGUAUAUGUAUAACUGAAUCACUUUGCUGUACACCUAAAACUAACAUAACAUCGUAAAUCAACUAUACUCCAGUAUAAAAUAAAAAUUAAAAGAAAAACACAUAUAGCCAUUCUAACACAAGACUUCCUAGUCAGAUUCUGAUGAAUGCUAAACCUUUCUAGAGCAAAGAGUUGGACUCAUUCGUCUUUUCCUCACAGCACCAGGCAAAAUCUCUUGCCAAAAGUGGUGCUAGUUGUUGAAUAAAGAACACUUUUAACAUAUUAUUUCCUUGCUGAAAAACCCCUAAGAGACCUCAACCCCGUGUCUAUCGUGUUCAAGUUGAAACUCUCCUUCAGUCUUGUUUCCCACCACUCUCCGCCUCCCCCACUGUUCUGGGACUUAUUUCCUUAUGGUAUUCCCACUACUGCGGUUGUGUCCCCUCUUUCCCAUUGUUUUCUCAGUCCUAGCCAUCAUCAAGUCCUAAUUCGAGUUGUAUUUUGUCCAUAAACUCUCCUCCUACUGCUUAGCCCACAAAGCUCUCUGUGUGAUUGUUUCACCCUUAGAAUCCAAUGCUUCUCACUUAGCUCUUCUCUAAUCACCAAAUGCAUGUUAGGCUUGUGAUACAUCAGAGUGUAAUCACCUUCAGGGUAAAGACCAGGUCUUCUUGGCUGUCUUUCCCCUUAGGUUCCGGCCUAGAGUGAAGAAUGAGUAUGAAUAUUCAUAUGAAUUAAUAUGAGUAAGGAUAUGAUGGUGUCCUGAAGCACUGGAUUAAGAGAUUCUCAUGGAGCCAGAACAGCCAGUUAACUUGAAGAUUCUGUUCACUUCCAUUAAUUAAGAAAUCAGGCUCAGAUUUAGGUUCAGAUCAUGAGGACUACUCCAGACCCUCCCUAAAUCAAACAUGUGUGAUCUUCUUGUACAGUUAUUGCUAACUUUCAAUAAUAUGUGACCACAUACCCACGAAUUCAAUCUUCUGGGUUUAUAAAACUUAUGCAUUGAUACCAAUCUCUCUCUCUCUUUCUAGUUUCUUAAAAAUCAGAUGUGCUGAUGUUUGUAUCAUAACCAUGAGUUGAGACUGAGCUGUAAAAAUAUCUCUUACACUUCCUGGGGGAGGUAUGCAAUUCCUUUUGGAGAAUAAGUUUGCGUUGUUGAGAUGUCCACAUUCUAUUUCAAACUCUCCUCUUGUAUACCUGUGACUCAAAGAUCAUAGCUGGAAGAGAAAAGCUGCCUUUUCCCACUGACUAAGCUAAAAUUUCUACAUAGAAAGAGAGUCAGUUUCCUUUUAACCCAGAGGUUUGUGACAUUAACAUCUGUAAAGAGAGUCAACUAGACAAAAUGGAUCACCAUCCCUAUGGGAGGAUAAGGGCUGAUAGUUUAUACACCCUGGAUCGAUAAGAAAUGCAAAGGAAAGCCAGAAAGAGAGAGUGAGGAAGAAAAGGAAAAAGAGAUAAAAGACAAGAUUAACAGGUGAUGUGAACUAAAAUUAGUUCUAAGGUAGUACUAAUAUACAACUGUACAUGGAAGCUUUGCCCCUCUUCCGCUAACAUAGAAUAGGAUUCAGUCUUCACUACAAACCUGCUGUAAAUUUUCUCAAAUUGUUUCAAACACUUGACCAGUUUCUGAACUCCUAAUAUGUGCCUGGCACUGUUCUACAUGCUGGUAUAUCAGUGAACGGAACGAAGUCUCUGUCUUCAUGGUGUUUAGAUUCUAGUGAAUGACCAGAAUCUAUGUAUCAGUCUAUAUUUAUAUCAAUAAUAAUAUGCUUUAAUUGAGUAACUGCUAAGUGCUAGGUUCUUUGUAUGUCAUUUUGGAUUUAAUUCUCAAAAUAAUCCUAAGAGGUAGAAAUAUCACUAUCCCCAUUUUACAGAUGAAAAACACUGAGGUUAAGAGAGAGCUAAAUAACUUUUGCAGUGUCACACAACUACUUAGAAAUGGAGCUUGGAUCUGAACCCACCUUCCCUGACUGCUAAGCAGGAGGGCCAAACAGGCUUUAAAUACCAGCAUGUAACUCAAAUGCUGAAUAGAUUCCACUUCAUACAUGCAAUGUGUUAUAAGGAAAAGUCCAAACUGGGAAAGAUUUGAUACAUUCAAUUUCUUUUAUAUCAUGAGUUUUAUUUUAUGUAGAGUUAUUGGGAUAGUAAAUAGCAGGGUAUUUGUUUUCAUGUUAAACCUUUUAACCAUUAAAAUAGUGUACAUUAUGUAGCCUCCUGUAAUGUCCCUAAUCUUCCAUUAAGGGCAACAUUUUGCCUACAAAGUCUAAUUUUUAAACAUUUCUAAAAAUCUUCGAAUGAAAAGUAUUCUGGUGAUCAAAAAAGACUGUUCAGUAUUUCCUUUGAGCUCUCUUUGGCUUCCCUUUGGGUUGGUUCUCACCUGUCAGCUUUCACAGGCAUCUGGGCCGUGGUCCAGGGAACCUAUAGGCCGUGGCAAGUGGAGCUCUGGGCAGUGCUGGGCUCACCACCAAGCAGGAGGCUGGCAGCUGUGGGCACUAUCAUUUCAUAGGUUUCCAGAAAUGUGUGCUGUUCUCCAGGAAUCUGGGAUUCCUUCACAUGGACAAGGGCUUAGCUGCCUGAGAACUGUUAAUGAGAAUUUUGCAAGGGGGUGGGAGAGGAGAGGCCCAACCUCGGGACCUUUUUAACUCUCAGCCCCUGGGACCCACUUAUAGUUCCUAGAAGGCCUUUGGGAAAAUGAGCGCCAGAGAAAGCCAGACAAUAAGACCUGCUGUGGACCUGCAGCUUACAGAACAUUAUGCUACAGCACAAGGAAAACAAUAUGCGUUGCUGCUGCCCCAGAGGAUUUUAUAUUCUAAAGGAGGAAGGAAAAUAUUUUGAAACACCUAAAUCAGUCAACAAGCCAUACAUCUAAUUAGAGCUAUGUAACCACUGGAGAAAUGUAUGAUAACUAUAGCAUCCUCCUUUCCAAAAGGACAGUUUCUCUCCAGAAGUCGCAUAAUAUCAUAGUUGGAAGUAUAGCCUCUGGAACCAGACAGCUUGGGUUUAGAGUCCUGAUCUGCAACUUUCUAGUCGUGUGACCUCAGCUGAGUCAUAUAGCUUCUUGUGCCAUAGUGUCCUUAUGUGUAAGACACAAUAAUAAAAGUAUGUCACUUGUGGCACUGUUGUGAGUAUUAAAUGAGUUAAUACGUAGAAACCACUUGUAUUAGAUGAGAUAAUAUAUUGAAAGUGCUUGUAACAGUAUUUGACUAAUAGAGCUAUAGUAAGUCUAGGUAGUGUCACAUUCUAUUUAUUUUUAAGACAGAUCUUAAGACUGAGUGAGUUAUUAUUCUACAGUAAUAAUAGCAAUUUUUCACGUGUACUGAAUGCUGAAUGUGUAAUGGGACAUGUCCUGUCUCACUUAAUUCUCAAAACAAUCUUAGGAAGUAGAUACCAUUUUAAAUUAUACUUGAAUAUGAAGAAAACAAGGCUUAGAGAAGUUUAAAUAACUUCUCAAAAGCUCAAACCCAGAUUUGUCUGCCUCUUCUGGAACCCAUAUUCUAUUAAGAUCUCUUGCUUCCUUCCCUCAACCAUGAAAGAAUGUCAGAGACUAUUUUGGCAUUUGAGAUGGGACUUGAUACUAAAAGAAAGUUGGUAAGUGGACAGAGGAAGGAAUUGAACAGCUCUCUAAAUCUUAUAAUUUAAAGCAACUGAAGUGCAGCUAUAGCAGCAGAGUUUUGUUACCCCUGAAGUUUCUUUAAGAAUCUGAACCACACAUUGGAAGUCCAUUCAGAUUAUGUUUCCCAUUUCUAAAUUUUCUGCCACUAAUAUUUAUGACAAGAGAAGGAAACAUGGAUGAAAAAGGCGGCAUUUCUGAGGCCAGAGUUACUGGUACCUUACUCAGGUUUUGAUCAGAAAAAUGUAAAAGCUGAUGGAGCUCUUAGAAAUGUGGUUGAGGCAGACAGGAGGGAGAAAAGGGGUCUGUGUCUUGGGGACAGACCUGCUGGGCUGCAUUAGAGCAGUAGGUGGCUCUUUACAACUGGUGACUGCAUUGCCCAUGGUCAGCCGGUCUAGUUUUAAAAGAUCUAGAUUGAGAAAAGAGCUUUCAAGAGGCAUUAAGAUAAUGCUGAAGUUUCAGUCAGUCCUUUGGGGCAGACUGAAAAAAUAAUAGGUUUAUUAAAAUUGCCUGUGCAUUAUGCUAUGAAAACUUCUACAAGGAUGCACAGAUGGGCUUUAAUUUGGACAACACUGUUGCUGCAUAUUAAAGGCCUUUGAUUUUAAUAUCCAAUAAUGAAUAAAACUACUGGUGGGUGUCCUCCUGUGUCAUAAUGUAAUCGGAGGAGAAUGAAUCUGGCUCUCAUUUCGUUUUGCUAUUGAAUAUUUGCUCUCAGACAGAUGUACCUAUGCUGAAAACACAACAACGAAUCAUUCUAUAUGUAGUGGAGGAAACCAAGGGGAUUUCAUCAGGUGGGAAGCACGAACUGACUAGAGUCAAAAAUGUGGCUUUGAAAUUAUGGGGUUUUCUAGAAGAGAUCAACUCUAGGUAUCCACAGUCCUUCAAGUAAGCCAAAACUUUCCUGUAAUAAAACAUAGUUUACUGAGAACUGCCACCUCCACUCUCUACCAGCCGGCUCAGCCCCCUGCUCGUCAUAGAUAACUCUAAAGGUAGAGCUUAGCACUAGGAUUUAGCACUACCUGCCUUCUCAGGUGCCUCAGUGCUGGCUGCUGUUUACCUAGGUUACUGAUACCUGAUACGGCUUCUCUUUAUGAUCCCGAAGACACUGCUGCCUGAAUGGUGCGUAAGAUCUCUAUGUGCUUUGCAUCCUUUACCUUUCUCACUUGGCAAAUUGCAUUUUCUUAGUUGAGGUAGUUUGAAGCCAAAUACCACUUCCCUUAUGUUCUUUCCUGUCCCCAAGUAAAGCCAUUGUGUGGCCCCAGUUCUUCACCCUUUCUUCUGUGCACCUUCUUUUCCAUGUGAUUUUGCAGUCCCUUCCUUCAUGUGGUGGAGUCUAUCUCUCUACCCUCUGAUUUGACUUGACUGUCCCCUUGACCUGUUUCUGCCAGUAGAUUGUGGAAGAAAAUGCAGAGAAUGCCAGCUUUAAGCUUAGCCCCAAGAGGACACGGACACGUUGGCUAUCUCUAUUGCUCCCCUUCCUUCAGCAUCUCAUGAUGCUCUCUUGUUCUCAACAAGAACAGGCUAGCCUGCUGGAAGAUGAGAAGCCACAUGGGGUAGAGCCAAGUGAGCUCAGUUGUCCCAUCAGGUCCCAGAAAAAGUCUACCCCAAAUCAGCAAAGCCACCCUGAUGAUGGGAAGCUGACGUGAUCAAGUGCCAAUGCCUAGCAAAACAACCCAGCCAUCCUGAUGACUCUUGAGGAGGGAAGGAAGAAGGAAAAUGAUCCUUGACGCAAAGUCUGAAAUUCAGGAGACAACAGUGAGAAAAAAACUGGUAAGGACAAAAACAGAAAAAACAGAAACAAAACAAAACAAAAAAGCUGGUAAGGCUGAGGGAAAAACUAAACAACACUGACUGUUAAUAAUAAUAGUAAUAAUAAUAAUAUCUCACUGUGGAGUUGAAAAUAUGGGGGGAAAACUACCUCUCAAGAAAGAUGGCUCUUGUGCUUUGAGGCAGCAAUACUUAAAAGACAUAAUUUAGACAGUGUCAUACUGACACAUGAGUAAGUAAACAAAGCAAUGAAAUAGGAAAGGGAGCCCAGAAAGAGACCAACAUGUACGUAGAAACUUGAUAUUCGCCUUGGCAGAUCAGUGGGGGGAAGAUGGACUGUUUAGUGUAUUGAUUUCACAACUGGAAAAAAGCAAAUCAAGACCACACCGUGAAUUAUGACUCACACCAUACAUAAAAUUCAAUGCCAGAUGGACAUACCUGUGGAAAGCAAAACUCCAAAAUGCUUGCAAGACAAUAUAGGAGAAUAUUGUUCUGCCCUCGAUUCACAAAAUUAUUUCAUUUAAGACCAUUUACAAAAGCACAGAACAUACAGGAAAAGAGUGAAAAAUAUGUCAACAUUUAUAUCUGGAACUGAUUAUCAUCAAAGACAUCAUAAAGAGAAUAAAAACACAAGCCUCCAACUGGGAGAAGUUAUUUGCAAAACACACAACUGUCAAAGACGAGAAAUCAGAACAUAGCAAAGACUUCUAUAAAUCAACCAUAAAAAGUCAAACCAAGAGAAAGAACAAAAGGUGAUUCAUGGAAGAGUUAACAUGAAUGGUUUGUGAGCAAAUUAAAAGAUGCUUAAUUGUAUUAGCAGUCAAGGAGAAGGAAAAUAAAAUCACCGUAAAAUACCGUCUCACCUCCCACAAACGAGGGAAACAAGAAAAUAUCUUAUUAGAGUACGUGAGGCAACAAGAACACCCUUCGAAUACCGGUGAGAGUGGAGAUCAGCACAACUUCUUUGGAGACAAUUCUCAUCCCUUGGUCAUGUUUAACAACCCUUUGAUGUAGCAGUAACUCUCUAAGGAGUGUGCUCUAUGAGUGAGAGAAGAACAUACCCCAUUUGAUACCAUGCUUCUACUGUAUAAUAGAAGUAAAGCAAAAAUCACAACAUUUGGUAUAUUCUAUUUCUUAAGUUAGGUGGGUGUUUUAUCACUUUUCUGUAAACUGUACCUACAUGUUAUAUAUAGCCUUUGGGGGGAAAUGAGGUACCUAUUAGAAACUAUGUAUUGUUCUAUGUUACAAUGCAUAAGUAAAUCAGUUGGUAAACUGAAAUUCUCAUUUCAUGGUGACUUCAUAGCAUGGAUGUAAUGAUUCUAAAUCUGUCAUCUACGUGCAGUCCUGUGUCAAAGACUGUCUCCUCCCCACAUAGAGAUAGAUCUUGGAAUUGUAAAGAUGCCUCCUUCCACUCCAGUUCAGCCCUGCCUCAUUAGCUAGCUGAGAAGGAGUAGUCCCCUGCCCAGUAGAAGCAGAUAAGGCAUGCAGUUUUCCUGGGCUCUAGACUCUGUGUGGAGGUGUGGCACCUUUGAUUUUACACAUCCUCAGCUUCUCCUCCAGAGCACACACGCAGCCAGCGUGCCAAGAUGUGACCUAUUCAGACAUCAGGAACCUCACAGAACCUGGAACCACCCUCACUUUAGAACCUCAGAUACUGCUUCUGGGUCUGGCUUCUUGUACCAGCCUUCUCCUUCUCUUGCGGUGGACUCUUCUACAGACAGGCUUUCCCCUCCUCACCACCAUCACCACUUUUCUCUACCACAAGGCUGCUCAGCUUCCAAGUAUUUCAGAAAAGUACAUAGCUACUGGAGAGGGAGGAUCACUGGUGUCACACACCCAGGCUUUACUUGGGCCCUUCAGGAAUAAUCCACAACAGGGAUAUCACCUUGCCUGGUAGAGUGAAAGAAGCGAAGUUCCAGAGUUGGACGGUUUGUAUCAGGUUAGAAAUUUUCCAACAUCUUCAACUGUAUUUCAGUCCUGACAUUGGAUUGCUUACUAACUCUUGUAAUUAUUUUAUCUGUCUAUUUUGAUAUGCAUCGUUUUAGAAUUCUCAUAGGGUGGGUUGUGAUAGCCCCGGCAAGUAGAGUUAAUCAUCAUUAAUGCCAGAGGGUUGCAGAAAACAUUGAAAGGGGAGAAGCCGCAAAAAAAUUCCCAAACCUCAUGCCACCCCUUCAAAAAUUAUUAAUUAUACACAACUUAAAAGCUUUCAUUUGAAUGUGGUUGAUUCACUGUGGCUGUGCCGCUGUAAUCCCCUUUAUCCUUAAGAUGUUCCGUGGUCUGACACCAACAUCACUUCGGCUUGCAACGAGUUAGUCCUGUUGCUUUUCCAAUUUAUAUAAGACAUAUUUCCUUCUGAAUUGAUCCCCCUGGACAGUGGUUUCCAGACUUUUUAGCUUGCAAGUCUGUAUUUGAUUUGAGGUAGACUCAUCGCUUUCAAAGAAGUGUUGAAUGCCACAUAAAUAUUUAAAGACGAUAAAAAGGAGUUUUGAGAAUUUGAGGUCGAGUUCUUAUACAGCUAAAAAACAUGGUUGAAAGUCACUGACAAAGUGUAUAGAAAAGCACAAGAAUAGAAGACAGACAUGUCCUAAUUAGGAUGUCAGUGUUUUGGUGUAGAAUCUUCCAAAAUGAAUAACACUGUGCCCAUCAUUCUCUUAAGUUUGGAAUAACAAAGCCGACAGCCCUGCACUGACAUCUUCUGUUCCACGUGGGCGAGUCAUUCUUUUAUUCACUGUGUUAUUCAUGAAUAUCAUGAUCCUAAUCUGACUCAUAUUUCAGUAAUUAAAGAAAAACUUAGCUAUGCUUCUCAAAAAAAACAUGUCUCUGCUUUCAGCUUUUUUUCUUUCUUUUUUUUUUUUUUUUGGUGUGUGUUCUUCAUAAACUUUGGGAGUUUUCACAGCAAAGAGGACUAUCAGCUGUAGCAUCCUCAUUAGGGAGAUGCAUCUGUUUACACUAGCUUUUUUCAGCAAAUAUAAGAAGUGUAUUAAAAAUGCAAAAUAUGAUCUCUGUAUCUGCCUCCCCUAGAAACUGCUAAAUGUUAUCAUCCAUAAUGCAUACGAGUUGGUAACUGUUUGCACAUUUUCAUUUUCUCAUUAUUUCCUUUCCCAAACUUAGAAAAUUAAGUUGGCAAACUGAAAUUUCUCAAAAGCUUCAGAAGGUGGUUUCUUGGUCUUUGAGUCAUUGACUUAGCAUCAAAUAAAUUGUAGAAGAGGGGAAGAACUUGGUGAACAUGAUUAAUAUAAAUAACCAUAUAUGUAAGUCCAAAUCUCCCCUUUUUUCUCAAAUAACCUUUAUCAAGGCUCAGACAAUUACCAUAUUUCCCAUUCCACUUAGCUUUAUGAAUUGGCUUCUGUUAGUUAGUUUGAAUUACUAUUGUUUUCUUUUUAAUUAUAAAAUAAUUAUUGUUCUUUUUUGAACAUUUGAAAAAUACAAGAGACUAAAGAAAAAUGUUAACAUCUGCUGAAUAUUCCACCUUCUAGGGACAAUAAAAAGCUUCUUCACAGCCUAGGGAACAAUUAGAAUGAAACAGCAACCUACAGAAUUGGAGAAAAUGUUUGCAAAUCAUAUAGCUGAUAAGGGGUUAAUAUUCAAAGUAUAUAAGAAACUCCUUAAACUCAAUAGCAAAAAAAAAAAAAAAACAAAAACCUGAUUUUAAAACGAGCAAAGGACUUGAAUAGACAUUUCUCCGAAGAAGACAUACAAAUGCCCAAAAGGUGUAUGAGAAGAUGCCCAACAUCACUAACCAUGGGGAAACGCACAAUAAAACCACAAUGAGAUAUCACCUCAUACCUGUUAGGAUGGCUAUUAUAAAAGAAAAAGAUGACAGGUGUUGGCAAGGAUGGGGAAGAGGUGGAACCCAUAUUCACUGCUGGUGGGAAUGUAAACUGGUGCAGCCUCUAUGGGAAACAGUAUAGAGGUUCCUCAAAAAGCUAAAAAUAGGGCUUCCCUGGUGGCGCAGUGGUUGGGAGUCUGCCUGCCGAUGCAGGGGACACAGGUUUGUGCCCCGGUCCAGGAAGAUCCCACAUGCCGUGGAGCGGCUGGUCCCGUGGGCCGUGGCCGCUGGGCCUGCGCGUCCGGGGCCUGUGCUCUGCGACGGGAGAGGCCGCGGCAGUGGGGGGCCCGCAUACCGCGAAGAAAAACAAAAACACAAAAAACUAAAAAUAGAAAUGCUAUAUGACCCAGCAAUCCCACUGCUGGGUAUAUAUCCAGAAGAAUUGAAAUGAGGAUCUCAAAGAAAUAUUUGCAUUCCCAUGUUCAUUGCAGCAUUAUUCACAAUAGCGAAGAAGUGGAAACAACCUCCGUGUCCAUUGCCAGAGGAGUGGAUAAAGAAAAUGUGGUUCAUUAAACGGGAUGUUAUUUAGCCUUCGAGAAGGAAAUCCUGCCGUUUGCGACAACAGGGAUGAACCUGGAGGACACUGUGCUAACUGAAAUAAGCCAGUCACAGAAGGACAGAUACUGCAUGAUCCCACUGAUCUAAGGCAUCUAACCUAGUCAGACACACAGAAGCAGAGAGUAGAAUGGUGGUUGCCAGAGGCUAGGAGGGUGGGCGGGAUGCGGGACCUGCUGUUCAGGCAUAAAACUCAUUAUGCAAGAUAACUGAUUAAGUCCUUGAGAUUUGCACUGUGCUUAAUAGCGCUUACUAAUACGGUAGGGUGUCCAUACAAUUCUGUUGAGAGGGUAGAUCUCAUGUUAAAUGUUCUCACCACAAUAAAAAAGAGAGAGGGAGAGACAAAUAGAUUCUGUCUUAACAUUCUCCCUCUCUGUUGAAUGUUGUUUUGUUUUCAGAACAAAACAUGAGCUCUUUAGUACUGCAUUGCCACUGCAUUACCUUGAAAUGUAAAGUUGAUAUUUUUUGUGAACUGGCACACUGUUCUUCCUGUUGAAUUUUAAAAUUUGACUUUGCUGAGGGGAAUUUCAUUUUCUCUCAUCUGAAAUUACAAACAGAUCUCUUCUGUGCCUGAGUUCAGCAUGAAAUUGAGGUAAUUAAAGAUGAGUAAAGCUAAAAGUUCCCUGAGCAAAAUCAAAGUAAAAAAAAAAAAAAAAUUUAAAGACUGUUGUGACUGAAGUAGCAUUACUCAUAAAUCUUCUGGGGGUUGUGUUUUUGUCUUUGUUUUAAUUUUUUCUCUGUUUUCUUUUUCCGUGUAGGUUUAGAUCAACAUUCGAAUCCAAGAGACUGGCUGGAAUGGAUUGCAAGCAGAUCAUAGGAACCUUGAAGACAAGGAAUACAUCUCUCAUUUAUUUGUAUUUUCUAAAAUUCCAAGCAGUUUCAGACAUACACCAGGACUAGGUAUCUCCCGUCUAAAUUGUGACCGCUACAGGGUUCAGAAAUACUGAGUGAACUGUGGGAUAGAUCCAUAUAAGUCUACGCGUACAAGGAAUGAAGAGGAUUCUUGGAAGGAAAAUCAUUCCAAGAGAAGGAGUUGGACACGAAAAGGUUGACAAAACCUUGGUUACUGAAGGCCUGGGGGUUAAAAGCCUAGGAGAUAGAAGUCAAAAGGUUGGUGAUGUCUAACAGAAGCAAGAUCUGUACAGAAAAGCAGCAGUGCACUAAGACAUUUUAUUUAGUUUGAAUUUGGAAGUGGUCUUAAAAGAGCUUAGAAUGCCUAAGAAAGAAUGAUCAUUUUUUUGUUUUUUUUUUUUAACUUGGAACUAUACAACCCUAUUUGGAGCAAUUGGACUAAUAUUGCUACGAGCCAACUGGGUCUUUACAAGUGGAGUUCAUUGAAUCUAUGCUACUCAUAGAUUUCUAGACAAGUCUACCUUACACCUUACCACUUGAACACAUGUUCAACACAUGAACAGCUCAUUCUUACUUUUAGCAGAUACAGAAAUAGUUAUAAAUUCUAGACCAAGGUGACAAAAUAUUUAAAUUAUACAUGCUAGGCUUGUACCUUCCAGAGACCACUUAACUUAAAAUGUAUAUGACUGUUAAGGUUUUUAUGGGGGGAGGGUGUAUGAAACAUAUGCACACAUUUGCAACAUAUAUGUCUUUUAACCUCCAGAUUUUGAGAAUACUUUUAGCAAUGUGAGCUGUAUUUUGUUGCUUUUGGUCUACCUGAUUUCAACAUUAAGCCGUGUGUAAAAAUUAACUGUAAUGACAUUUAUAGGUCUCCAUGUAGCAUUAUGAGAAAUUUAAAAUUAGUUUAUAUUUUUAAAUAUAGCAUUAGCAACAUUGUCAGUCGAUAGUAAAUGAUAAAAAGAAAAUCUUUUGAAAGUUCCCCAUGUUUCCAUCAAUAAAAUAUAACUAGACUUAUUUGAGAUGUCCAUACUCUUUUCAAUUGAAAAUAUUUUUCUAAGAAAAGAAUUCUUCCUUCAUAUUUUCAUGCAUUUAACUUAUUUAAUAAUCUAUUAAUUUAUUAAAUACUAAUAUUUAUAACAUGUUACAGUGUUUAAUAUUCAUUAAUGUAUUAUUAUUAUAUUCAUUUAAUUUAGCUCUUUGCAGAAUUUUAAUGACCAUGGUCUUUGUGGUCUCCUCUGUUGAUGUAUAAUUUAUACAGUUUUAAAUUUUAUAAGGAUACUUUGUAAGAAGCAUGUGCUCAGUUUUGUUCAUUGUGACCAAAUAUAUUUUUGUGGUGCUCAUAUUUUCACGAUUCUCACAAGCCAUUUUUUAACGUAGAAAGGCAAUUUUAACAUGAUUUGUGUUGAUUUCCAGAAAUCCAGGAAGUUUAAGCAGAUUUAAACAUUCACUUCAUACCAUUUCACAAUGAACCUCAUGCUGCGGCCAGUUGCAUUUAAAUCUUAUGACAAUUCUCAUGACAAGAAUUUGUUCUGUGAUUUGAAUGUUUUGUGUUUGAACUUGAUUUUUGGUUUUGAACACGAUAAACCAUUAUUUGAAUCCUCAUUUCUGGUUAUUAUGCCUUUGAUUCAGUAAGGAACUCUCAUUCA